AUCGCAGCUCCUGCUUCGGGGGGGGCUCUCGCUCCUCUCUCCCACCCCACUGUGUCUGGGCAAGGUCACUGCAGCUCCUUGGCAAACUCAUUUUCACCGUGCCCAUCUCCCCUGGCUUCCCAAAAUCUGCUGAGAUCAGCCGUGAGCAGUCCCUGGGCUCAGCCCAAAGCAUCCCUCUGGGAGGGAUUUUUUUUUUUUCUGGGAAGCUCUCUCCAAACCCCAAAACCUGAGGGCACGUCCCAGCUGGGAGCACAGGUGGAGAGCUCCAGGUGGCUUUUCCCUUAUAACUAGGGCAGGGCUCUGCUCUCUCUGCUGCUAGCCAGGAUCCCCAGGGGCAUUUUUAUCAGCUUUUUCUACAUCUCCCCAAUGAAACUGGGCAUUUUCUGCUGUGACCAUGAGAGAGAAGCCCCAGGGAGCUGGGUGAGAGCUGGGCCCUCUCGUGUCACCUCCACACCAGGAUGUUUUCUCCUUCCUUUGGCUAAACACAGGCAAACAGCUCCCGGUCCUCCUCCUGCCCAGGGCUGGGUGCUCGAGGAGCCCUGCAGAUACACCCAGGGCUGUGGCACAGGCAGAAAAGGGAUGGCCACGGGGCUGGCAGCCAGCAAAGCCUCUCCUUCACCGAAGGGAGGCAAAAUUGUGCAGCUUUCCUGGGCUGGCCUCUCCCCAGCAUGCUGACGGGGCUGUUUGUGCUCUUCUUUUAUGAUCCGCAGGGCACGAGGGAACUCGAGAGGAUCCGGAUCCUGGCGCAGGCAAGGACGAGGAUGCUCAGCUGUGCUAGCAGGGAAGUGAGCUUCCCAAGAUGACACCGUGUUCUUUUUUUUUUUUGGUUUCUUUCUUUUUUUAUUAUUAUUUUUUUCCUGCCUGCUGGCGGUGACAGGAUAUAAAAGGAUCCUGAGCACCACGUGCCUGGUGCGAGUGCGCAGGGCGAAAUGUUCGACGUGCUGGAUAAAUGAGCAGGAGGGAGGUGUCGGCCACGGGGGGGCCCUGGGUUGUGUUUGUACAAGCAGAGCUGCCAAAUGUCCCCGUCCCCAGCUCUGCAGGGAUGCCUGCACCAUCCUGACCCCAGGGGCACGGUUAAUCCCCCAGCUGGGGCGGCCUCGUGGCUGAUGGAGAGGACGGAGAGCCGGGGGGGUGCUCCUGGGUUGCACCCUGAGGCUUGGCCCCCGCCUCCCCUUCAUUUCGUGGGGAUGCUGAGCCCUGCUCCGCACAUCUCCCAGGCUGUGCUCAUUGCCCAAACAGCCCGGAGAUGUUCCAUAAAGGGCUUCACCUCCCGGCUCUGACUCAGACAUCAAGCGCAAAUAUCGUGCGGCUCCCCCCGUGACACGCAGCUGAAGCUUGUGCUGUGUUUUUCUGGCCGCUUUCUCGCGGUCGCUCGGCUGGAAAGCUCGCUCAGGCAGCAGCAGCAGAGCAUUUAAGCAGAGCGCCGUGGCUUUUCCUGCCCGGCCCUUUGCAGCUGCCAGGGAAAACCAGAAGCUCCUGCCCUUUGCUGCUCCAAAGCUCUCAUUUCCCGCAGGGGGGUGGAACACCCGCAGCUCAUCCUCCGGCACAAAAAGCCCCCGCUUUAUGGGCACGGCACGGCACGUGUCCCCCUGCGGCACACCCGGCUGCGUCGGGGACAGGCUGUCCCAGCCUCCUGCUGGCUCUGGUGGCACCCGCAGCCUGCGGGGACAGCUUGUGCCAGCGAGGACAGAAAGCGUUCUGCGACGCGCUUCGCUCUUGCAGCGCGCGCGCGUGACUGCGAAACCUUCCCCCCCCUGCUGCCAAAUUCAUCCUGAGGUUUGCGGCUCUGAAAGCCAACGUGUCUCUUUCUUCUUUUUAAUUGCUAUAAUUUGUCCGGCUCAUGGUGAGGCUCGGCUUUGAGCCCCCCCACCCGGUGGGUUUAUUUUGGGUUUUGUGCCGCACGGAGAGCAAGAAGCGCCACGGACCCGCGUGGGGCUCAUUUCGGAGUUGUUCCUGUGCCCCCCGUGGGACUCCUCUGGUGAAUAAAGCUGUGUGGGAUCAGAGGCAAAAAACCACAGCCUGGGAAAUUUCUGCAGAGGAGGGAAGGGGGGAGAUUGCUGCUAGCAGGCGAGCAGCGGGGCUGAUUGCUCCUCUCGUGCUGGGGCUCAUUAACGGGGGGCUGGAUGGAGGGCAGAGCGCAGUGCACACUGAAGGCUUUGGGGCAGGGGCUGCUGCCCCCUGCCCGGGGAGGAUGUUUGGGGCCAUUGGGGUGCUUGUCUGGGGCUCCUGCCUGACCCCAGCAUCCUCCCGUGGCAGCCAGGCCCUGGGAUGCUUUUCUCCCUCUCCUGGAAGAGGCUGGAAUCUGAAGUGCGCAGGGCAGGAAAAGCUGAAGGCUGAUCCUCGGCUGGGAGUGGAGGGCACGAAGCAGCACGGAUCCUGGGAUGGGGAUGGGAUGGGGAUGGGGCUGUGGUGGGACACGUCCCCCAUCCCCUUCUGCUGCAAGCAAUGCCCCAACCCAGGGGGACCUCCCGGGACCUGCCCCAUGUCCUGGCUCCCCACACCCUUCCCGGGGUUCCCUGGGGUCCCCACAGCUCUCCAACCCUGGGGACCCCCUCCAGAACCCCUCAGCUCUUUCUGUGGCAUCUCACAGCUCUGCGUGUACAUCCCCACUGUCCCCGGGGUCCUGCCAGCAAUCCCCCCCCCCCAGGUGGCCUUGUUUUUGCUCAGCGAAGGCGGAUGGGAGCCACCAUCUUCCGAGCGCCGAGCGUUUUUAAUCUCCUGCUCCCGCUCCGUGCAAUUAACUCGAUUCCCUCCCCUCGUUUCCUGCAGAGGUUUAAUUAAAAUGCAUUGUUCGCCUCGCCAAUUAUUUGCUCUGUCCCCCGGAUAACCUCUGUGCAGCGGCUGGGUUGCUGGUGGUUUUUUUUUGUUUUUAUUUUUUUUUCCACCCCCCCCUUGUUGCCAGCCAGGUUUCUCCCCUCUCCCCCUUGCAGCCUUUACCUGCCCGGGUGCUGAGCACCCCCUGGGCGCUGAGAGGGGGGGCGAGGAGCAGCGUGCCCCCGAGCAGCUGAAACAACAAGCCCUUGUUGACUUUCCUUUGAGCUCCCCGGCCCUCGGCAGCUGCUGCUCCAGCAGGUGAUAAUUGAAACCGGGCGCCGACCUGGAUGGCGGCAGGGCUGCAGAUUUCGCUCGGAUUUCGUCCCCUUGGCGGUGGAAAAAAGGCACCGAGGCUCCACGUGGGGGCAAGAGGACACAGGGGGGGUGUUGGGGGCUGUGCCCCCUUUAGCUCCUAGCCCAAAAUGUGGCCGGAUUGGGACCCGCAGGGUGCAGCCCCCCGAGGUGCCGCGAGGUCACCGAGGGAAGACGAAUUAUUUCCUGGAGCCCUGUGUUUCGGGGAAGGGGUGCUCAGCAUCCUAAAAAUAGCGGGGCUGGAACUCUGAGAUAUUCCUGGCCACGCAGUGCUUGAAUCUCCAGGCUGAAUCUCCGAGCUGUUCCUGGCCACGCCGUGUUUGAAGCGGGGCCAAGGCAGCUGCUGCCGGGCGUCCCCCCGGCACGGCGCGCAGGUGGCCUCGGCGCUGGGACCGCAGCCGAGGUUUCGAGGUUUGGGUGAAUUUCCUCCUGCUCCCUGUCCCCCCUGGGGGGCUUCCAGAGCCGGGGGGGCACCCGGAGCUGCCGCUGGGUGAAAUCCCAGGGGAUGGGGUUUGCUGCAUCCCGGCAGCACCGGGGUCCUCCCCAGCCGGGAUGGGUGCGCGCACCCCGCAGCCCUCACCAGCUCCCUGCGCCGUGUUUUAUUUCUUGGCAUCACCUCCAGGUGUGAGGUUAACGGGGCAAAUUCAUGCUGUGGAAAUCCGUCUGUCUGUCUGUCUGUCUGCCACCUGUGAUCCUAAAUCUGUGCUGCUGCCGUGCAGAUUGGAGCCCUUUGGGGCUGGAGCCCCACGCGCCCGGUUGUUCCCGCAGCUGUGUGUGCGCCUCGUAAUUGGGAGCUGUCGGCCGCGCGCCUCUCCCGUGCAGAGCAGAGGCCUGGACGCAGCGGGCGGGGAUUGAGCUGCGAUCGCUGCCGCCGGGGUGAGAAUUUGACUGAAAAUUUCAUUUUUUCCCCCGCAAAGCGAGGAAGCAGGAUCCCGGGAACGUGGCCACGAGGCCACCGUGACCUGGUCUCGCAGGGGCCAGGAGCGGAGCUGGGGGGCUGCAACCUCCCCCCCGAUCCCUGAGCCCCCUCCUGCGGCAUCCGAGUGUUUUGGGGGGGCGCACGGGUGGGUGCACGGCAGGAGCCCCCAAUGCUGAGCCCCAAACCCUGUGGAAAGCAUUUCCAAGGAGGAGCUGUGCUGCUGGGUGCGCAGAGGGGCUCCGAGGGGCUCCUGGGCCAGCGUGCGGGGCCCUGGCACGGAGCAGGGCCCAUGGGCAGCUCCUGAUGCUCACCCCAAACCCAGCAUCCUAAACCCUAAUCCCAACCCUAAUCCUAACCCUAACCCCAACUCUUUCCUGGGGAACCUGUGGCAAAUCAGGAGCUGCCCGUUUUCGCACCCCAUUAGGGACAGGUGGCACUUUUAGGGUGAUCCCUGCCCCGUCCCACAGCGGGGUGGGUCAGUGCCCCCACGGGGACGGUUUUCCUGAGCGGCCGCCAAGCCCAGGGAGCCGGCCCACCCCGAGCAGGGGGCGUCUAUUUAUGGGCUGAAAAAGGAAAAGCGUCCAACUGCCGAAAUUGGCAGCGCAUCCCCUGACUAUAAUAAACAGCUUCCCUUCCAA
Molecule: long non-coding RNA, 4683 nt
Organism: Anas platyrhynchos (mallard)
Lineage: Eukaryota; Metazoa; Chordata; Aves; Anseriformes; Anatidae
Source: RefSeq, a predicted model, not a curated record